Molecule: ribosomal RNA, 808 nt
Filed under: uncultured bacterium
Lineage: Bacteria
Description: bacterial SSU rRNA
Rfam family: Bacterial small subunit ribosomal RNA
Source: RNAcentral
GACGAACGCUGGCGGCAUGCCUAAUACAUGCAAGUCGUACGCUUCUUUUUCCACCGGAGCUUGCUCCACCGGAAAAAGAGGAGUGGCGAACGGGUGAGUAACACGUGGGUAACCUGCCCAUCAGAAGGGGAUAACACUUGGAAACAGGUGCUAAUACCGUAUAACAAUCGAAACCGCAUGGUUUUGAUUUGAAAGGCGCUUUCGGGUGUCGCUGAUGGAUGGACCCGCGGUGCAUUAGCUAGUUGGUGAGGUAACGGCUCACCAAGGCCACGAUGCAUAGCCGACCUGAGAGGGUGAUCGGCCACAUUGGGACUGAGACACGGCCCAAACUCCUACGGGAGGCAGCAGUAGGGAAUCUUCGGCAAUGGACGAAAGUCUGACCGAGCAACGCCGCGUGAGUGAAGAAGGUUUUCGGAUCGUAAAACUCUGUUGUUAGAGAAGAAUAAGGAUGAGAGUAACUGUUCAUCCCUUGACGGUAUCUAACCAGAAAGCCACGGCUAACUACGUGCCAGCAGCCGCGGUAAUACGUAGGUGGCAAGCGUUGUCCGGAUUUAUUGGGCGUAAAGCGAGCGCAGGCGGUUUCUUAAGUCUGAUGUGAAAGCCCCCGGCUCAACCGGGGAGGGUCAUUGGAAACUGGGAGACUUGAGUGCAGAAGAGGAGAGUGGAAUUCCAUGUGUAGCGGUGAAAUGCGUAGAUAUAUGGAGGAACACCAGUGGCGAAGGCGGCUCUCUGGUCUGUAACUGACGCUGAGGCUCGAAAGCGUGGGGAGCAAACAGGAUUAGAUACCCUGGUAGUCCACGCCGUAAAC